AACGCUGGCGGCCGCGUUCACACAUGCAAGUCCAACGAUUGAAACCUAGCUUUGCUAGGUCGGAUUCAUCGGCGAAACGGGCGAGUAAUACGUCGAGUCGACCUACCUUUGACUCCGGGAUAAUCCUGGGAAAACUGGGUCUAAUACCGGAUACGACCAAUCUCCGCAUGGGGUCGUUCGGUGGAAAGCGUUAUGGAGUCGGUUUUUAGAUGGGCUCACGGCCUAUCAGCUUGUUGGUGAGGUAAUGGCUUACCAAGGCGACGACGGGUAGCCGGCCUGAGAGGGUGACCGGCCACACUGGGACUGAGACACGGCCCAGACUCCUACGGGAGGCAGCAGUGGGGAAUAUUGCACAAUGGGCGCAAGCCUGAUGCAGGGGACGCCGCGUGAGGGAUGACGGCCUUCGGGUUUGUAAACCUCUGUUUAGCAUCGAAGAAGCGAAAGUGACGGUAGGUGCAGAGAAAGCGCCGGCUAACUACGUGCCAGCAGCCGCGGUAAUACGUAGGGCGCGAGCGUUGUCCGGAAUUUAUUGGGCGUAAAGAGCUUGUAGGCGGUUGGUCGCGUCUGCCUGUGAAAGGCUGGGGCUUAACCCUGGUUUUGCAGUGGGUACGGGCUAACUAGAGUGCAGUAGGGGAGACUGGAAUUCCUGGUGUAGCGGUGGAAUGCGCAGAUAUCAGGAGGAACACCGAUGGCGAAGGCAGGUCUCUGGGCUGUAACUGACGCUGAGAAGCGAAAGCAUGGGGAGCGAACAGGAUUAGAUACCCUGGUAGUCCAUGCCGUAAACGUUGGGCACUAGGUGUGGGGGACACUCCACGUUUUCCGCGCCGUAGCUAACGCAUUAAGUGCCCCGCCAGGGGAGUACGGCCGCAAGGCUAAAACUCAAAGAAAUUGACGGGGGCCCGCACAAGCGGCGGAGCAUGCGGAUUAAUUCGAUGCAACGCGAAGAACCUUACCAAGGCUUGACAUAUACUGGACUGCGUCAGAGAUGGCGUUUCCCUUCGGGGCUGGUAUACAGGUGGUGCAUGGUUGUCGUCAGCUCGUGUCGUGAGAUGUUGGGUUAAGUCCCGCAACGAGCGCAACCCUCGUUCUAUGUUGCCAGCACGUGAUGGUGGGGACUCAUAGGAGACUGCCGGGGUCAACUCGGAGGAAGGUGGGGAUGACGUCAAAUCAUCAUGCCCCUUAUGUCUUGGGCUUCACGCAUGCUACAAUGGCCGGUACAGAGGGUUGCGAUACUGUGAGGUGGAGCUAAUCCCUAAAAGCCGGUCUCAGUUCGGAUUGGGGUCUGCAAACUCGACCCCAUGAAGUCGGAGUCGCUAGUAAUCGCAGAAUCAGCAACGCUGCGGUGAAUACGUUCCCGGGCCCUUGCACACACCGCCCGUCA
Molecule: ribosomal RNA, 1381 nt
Filed under: uncultured bacterium
Lineage: Bacteria
Description: 16S ribosomal RNA
Rfam family: Bacterial small subunit ribosomal RNA
Source: RNAcentral